UCCUACGGGAGGCAGCAGUGGGGAAUAUUGCACAAUGGGCGAAAGCCUGAUGCAGCAACGCCGCGUGAGCGAUGAAGGCCUUUGGGUCGUAAAGCUCUGUCCUUGGGGACGAAAAAAAUGACGGUACCCUUGGAGGAAGCCCCGGCUAACUACGUGCCAGCAGCCGCGGUAAUACGUAGGGGGCAAGCGUUAUCCGGAAUUAUUGGGCGUAAAGGGUGCGUAGGUGGUUUUGUAAGCGCGGGGUGAAAGGCAAUAGCUUAACUAUUGUAAGCCUUUCGAACUGUAAGACUUGAGUGCAGGAGAGGAAAGCGGAAUUCCUAGUGUAGCGGUGAAAUGCGUAGAUAUUAGGAGGAACACCAGUGGCGAAGGCGGCUUUCUGGACUGUAACUGACACUGAGGCACGAAAGCGUGGGGAGCAAACAGGAUUAGAUACCCCAGUAGUCA
RNAcentral lists this ribosomal RNA (444 nucleotides) under uncultured Anaerovorax sp. RNAcentral describes it as "bacterial SSU rRNA". It matches the Rfam family "Bacterial small subunit ribosomal RNA", at positions 337 to 796 of the family's 1533-position model. Lineage: Bacteria; Bacillati; Bacillota; Clostridia; Peptostreptococcales; Anaerovoracaceae. The record is from RNAcentral.